This 305-nucleotide ribosomal RNA is filed under the name uncultured bacterium. Its description in RNAcentral is "bacterial SSU rRNA". It matches the Rfam family "Bacterial small subunit ribosomal RNA", at positions 335 to 656 of the family's 1533-position model. The record is from RNAcentral.
UGCCUACGGGGCGCAGCAGUGGGGAAUAUUGGACAAUGGGGGGAACCCUGAUCCAGCGACGCCGCGUGAGUGAAGAAGUAUUUCGGUAUGUAAAGCUCUAUCAGCAGGGAAGAAAGAAAUGACGGUACCUGACUAAGAAGCCCCGGCUAACUACGUGCCAGCAGCCGCGGUAAUACGUAGGGGGCAAGCGUUAUCCGGAUUUAUUGGGUUUAAAGGGUGCGUAGGCGGAAUGCCAAGUCAGCGGUAAAAUCGCGGGGCUCAACCUCGCUCCGCCGUUGAAACUGGCGUUCUUGAGUGGGCGAGAG